GUCUACCGCGCCUCUCGCGAGCGGUAGUGUCUGGCAGAGCUCGGCUCCUGCCCAGCGCGGCGGCGACGGGGCUCUCGCUGCUCAGGACGGGGAGAAACGCCCUCUGCCCUGGCGGUUCCUGUGCUGCCUCUUCGCCUAGCAGAGCAGGUCAAGCCAUGCUUCAUUCGCCUUGCCUGUGGGGCUGACCAGCUUUGUGUGUCCUACCACACAGAAGAUGUGAUUCAUCCUGUUGUGGAAAGGGUGACUUGGCCCCACAGCAUGAACCUCUUUAAGCACGAAUAAGGAAGUAGUGGCAUGAUACCAGCAAGGACCCCCAACUUAUUCUGGGCAAUAAGCAAAAGAACAAGCCAAAGAUCUGCAUACUAACUUGAAGCUGAAAGAAGAAAGACUAAUGUGAUUUUCUUCUUACCAAGAAAGGAACGGCUCUUUUAAUCUUGAUAUAAAUACUUUCUUUAAUUACAAAUACAACUGUAACUAGCAAUUCAAUCUUUGUAAGUACCAUCUUUGAGACAAAUACAUUUGCUCUGUACCAACA
Rhea pennata is the source of this 535-nucleotide long non-coding RNA. RefSeq lists it as uncharacterized. The transcript is spliced from 3 exons. NCBI's taxonomy places the organism in Eukaryota, Metazoa, Chordata, Aves, Rheiformes, Rheidae. The record is from RefSeq and is a predicted model, not a curated record.